AUGAAAUAUGCCAGUAUAGAGCUCAGCAGUGAACAGUCCAUUCAUAAUCUUCCAGGAAAGGUACAUAUAAAACCUUUAUUCCACAUGCCCAUGAACAGUAUUGAGCUCAAAAGUACUUGUAAAACUUUUAUUUCACAGGAAAAAAUAUAUGAAACAGUACAGAACUAGCCGCCAGUUCGUGGGAAUCACGAACUGGCCAAACGACAUGGCCGACGUGAAUCUCGCGAGUGCCGCGAGAUUCAAGAUGGCCGCCGUUCGCGCGCAAAAGUGCCGUGCGGCCCACGAUCGAGG
Molecule: long non-coding RNA, 291 nt
Filed under: Pelobates cultripes (western spadefoot toad)
Lineage: Eukaryota; Metazoa; Chordata; Amphibia; Anura; Pelobatidae
Source: RNAcentral